GAGACUCUAGUAAAUUAAUUACAUCACCUUGUCAAGGUGAAAUUGUGGGUGAAAGUCCCACGAAUCUUG
RNAcentral lists this transfer RNA (69 nucleotides) under Dipturus batis (blue skate). RNAcentral describes it as "tRNA-Asp". It matches the Rfam family "tRNA". Rfam says of the family: Transfer RNA (tRNA) molecules are approximately 80 nucleotides in length. Their secondary structure includes four short double-helical elements and three loops (D, anti-codon, and T loops). The record is from RNAcentral. Lineage: Eukaryota; Metazoa; Chordata; Chondrichthyes; Rajiformes; Rajidae. RNAcentral also lists the same sequence under 1 other name.